Molecule: unclassified non-coding RNA, 837 nt
Filed under: Hevea brasiliensis (rubber tree)
Lineage: Eukaryota; Viridiplantae; Streptophyta; Magnoliopsida; Malpighiales; Euphorbiaceae
Source: RNAcentral
AAGAAGAAGCUCUAAUAAGGUGCAAUUUAUGCUAGCAAUUACCAUUCACUCAAGCACAUGCUUCUAUGACAAACUAAUAACACACACAUAAAGCAUGAAUCUAUAUUAGGCCAACUCACAGUCAAAGCAACAGGGGCAUAAUUUUGAAUUGUUACAGAUUAUAAGUGUAUAAUUUCACGUCAGGCUGUAAGAAAUGCAUAUGGUAAACACAUUAAAAGAGUUCAACUUUUGCCGAGCCAACUCUUAUGCGGAGAGAGGAAGGGGGGAAGAAAGAAUGAAGUAUGUGAAUGUGCAUUCCAAUGUAUGAGAUUUCUACAAUUAACUAAUUGUAAUUUAAUACUAACAACUGGAAUUCUGAUUAAUCAUUGAUACAAACCAUUUAGCAAUAUCAGGUAUAAAACACAAAAAGAAGUCAGAGACUAAAUAAUUAUAACAUCUAUUAGAUGUGUUCCUUUACAUCAUAAAAGGACACACAUAAAAUGAGCAGCUAGAGGCACUUAAAAUCCUUUCAAAUACAAUUACAGACUGAGGGCAAUAAAACCAUGUACUCCCUCUAAUAUUUUUAACUAUGAUGUGUUAUCCACACAAGAAGUUGGUAACAUCAGUAUAAGGAGUGGGUCUCCUUUCUUUAUUAAGUAAGCAUCAAGGAAUUUUUCCUAUGAACUAAUCAAUACAAAAGAAAAGAAAUGCAAUUGCAUACAAGCAUUCAAUAACAACUUCCUUUAAAGUUUCAGCAAUCCUACAUGUUAUCCUACAUAAAUUUUGUAAUGCCUAUCUUUGUUCUCUUAGUGAUUGUUUGUAAUCUAAAUUAAUUCAAAGAAAAUUCAUGAAGAUUAU